GCCUGGCCAGCUCAGUCAGUGGAGCAUGUGACUCUUGAUCUCGGGGUUGUGAGUUCAAGCCCCAUGUCGGGUA
Ailuropoda melanoleuca (giant panda) is the source of this 73-nucleotide non-coding RNA. The record is from Rfam. Lineage: Eukaryota; Metazoa; Chordata; Mammalia; Carnivora; Ursidae.